RNAcentral lists this ribosomal RNA (492 nucleotides) under Triticum aestivum (bread wheat). Its description in RNAcentral is "partial small subunit ribosomal RNA". The record is from RNAcentral. Lineage: Eukaryota; Viridiplantae; Streptophyta; Magnoliopsida; Poales; Poaceae.
AUGAUUGACCUGAAUGAGGAACCAGCUGAAAAUAAUGGUGAUCCAUUGUACUGUACACAACAUGCUGCUGGAAACGCAGAAUUUGUGGCGGAAUCACCUAAUCCCCCUAUCAUGCAAAGAGUCAAUGCUGCUGCUACAGAAGCAAUGGAGACAGAUGGGCAGUCAAGUCGUGGGGGACGUGCUCCGGGCAGUACACAAGUACCUGCAGCUGUAGCAGCUGGGAGUGAUGCUCAUACCCUUGAUGGCACAGGUGCUGCAGGUGAUACUGGUGGCACUGUUGGUAAUGGUUUGGGUGCUGAAAAUGAUGAUGGAGCUUGGUCACAGCCCAAGGAGCCUUACGUGGGCAUGAGGUUCGACACUUUGGAAGAUGCCAAGGUCCAUUACAAUGCAUAUUCCUUGCAAAUGGGUUUUUCAAUCAAAAUGAAUAGUUCAAGGAAGGAUAUGAAAACCGGGGAGUUGAUAAAACAACAGUUUGUUUGCAACAAGUUUUGA